RNAcentral lists this ribosomal RNA (490 nucleotides) under uncultured bacterium. Its description in RNAcentral is "partial 16S ribosomal RNA". It matches the Rfam family "Bacterial small subunit ribosomal RNA", at positions 30 to 507 of the family's 1533-position model. The record is from RNAcentral.
AUUGAACGCUGGCGGCAGGCCUAACACAUGCAAGUCGAACGGUAACAGGGAUCAGCUUGCUGAUUCGCUGACGAGUGGCGGACGGGUGAGUAAUGUCUGGGAAACUGCCUGAUGGAGGGGGAUAACUACUGGAAACGGUAGCUAAUACCGCAUAACGUCGCAAGCCCAAAGAGGGGGACCUUCGGGCCUCUUGCCAUCGGAUUUGCCCAGAUGGGAUUAGCUAGUAGGUGGGGUAACGGCUCACCUAGGCGGCGAGCCCUAGCUGGUCUGAGAGGAUGACCAGCCACACUGGAAGUGAGACACGGUCCAGACUCCUACGGGAGGCAGCAGUGGGGAAUAUUGCACGAUGGGCGCAAGCCUGAUGCAGGCAGGCCGCGUGUAUGAAGAAGGCCUUCGGGUUGUAAAGUACUUUCAGCGGGGAGGAAGGGAGUAAAGUUAAUACCUUUGCUCAUUGACGUUACCCGCAGAAGAAGCACCGGCUAACUCCGUG